UUCGACGGUUCCUGUGGGUCGGAACCUUAAGGUCACUUGGACUAAUCCAUCUGGUUAGGAAUUCUAGGGAUAUUUUUUUUGUUUUAUUCAUUUAUGGCCGAGUAACCUUUUGCUCUGAUUUACUUGCAGAAAUCGAAGAUCCCCCGAAGCUCUCUACCAAGCUCACCAGGGCUCUAUACCGCAAGUUGCAACAGAGUCCCUGUACCUGGGUGGCCUACACCACUUCUCGAAUAAGUGCAGCCAGAUUCCCAGAUACCUACAACGCCUCUUUCCAAGAUCCCAUUCCUGCUGAGAACCUUGAGAUUUCGGCAGGCGAUUCGGUUGUAUCGAUCUCAACUGGUGCUAGUGCUUCGGGAACUGAAAAGUCUCAGCCAGGUGACAUGACUCUGCGACCGUCAUUCCGUUCUAGGGGUAACCCCUCUAAAGCUGCCAGUGCUUCUCGUGGAAGCGACAGGAACCAAGGAGGAUCGUUCCUUAUCUCAAUGAAGGAAGUUUUGGACGACGGAGGAUCCAAACCUGUUGUCGAGACUACUCCAACUGAGGUUGUAGCUCAGGAUGCUGCUCCUCUCCCUGAGGUCCAGGUGCCGGAGUCUGAGUACCAGGCUCCGAAGGGUACCUCUGAGAUCGAGCCGUCGAGACACAAGAGGCCCAGGAUCGAUCAGGGCGGAGCUUCCAUCCGUUCUUCUUCCUCGUCCUCUAGAGGAGGGACUGUUGGGUGGAGCUUUACCCAUUCGAAGCCUGGGUCGAUCCUGGAUGACUCUUGGGGCCUAGCUGCGAUAAUGAGGCACCUGAAGAGGAGAUGUGUUUGUGCUCAACUCCUUGAGGUAAGCACAAAUCUCAUCCAUGACGUUCCCUUACAGACCAUGAGCUAAUCAAAGAUUCUCAUAUGAUUCUUUCUCUGUUUUCCGUAAACCAAAUCAAGAAAGAGACGUGUGAUUGAUGUUACCUGUUUUGGACAAUCUGAGCAUCAGCCACCUGGAUUUGGAUUAAUUUCUCGUACGCACUUGCGACUUCUUCCAAUGGUUUCUUCAUAAUUUCCGAUAUGACGUCGACUUUCCGAGAGGACUCCGGUACUGUUUCCAUUGCUUUUAAAAAAACUUGUAAUUCAUGUUGAGUCCACAUGAUCAUGAUGAUGAUAUGAGGAUGGAGAAGAUGAAAGAAACUUAGAGAAAGGGAGAGAGAGAGAGAGAUCAAGAAUGGGGAAGAGAUGAAAGAGCGUGGGAAGGGUUUUUCGAAUGAAUCAUUCGAAUAUUUAUAGGCAAGUAACCGCCACAUUACAACUUAUUUUUAAACUUAUUGUUGGGGUUAAUAUGCGUAAUGAUUAUUUGGAUCAACUGGUUUGAAGGUUAGGGUUUGAUUAUUAGUGGCACGGGUUUGGUUUACUUUUUUCAUACAUAAAUUUAACCGAAACAAAUUAUGGUUUGGUUUGGGUUUUAAUUGGGUUAUAUAAAUUUGUAACUAGAUUAUUUUGGAUUUCGAAAUAUAUUAGUACCAAAAUGUAUGGUUUAAACUUACAAAAACGAAUUAGCCUAACUAAUAACCUAAUCAAUUUUGAAAAUGUAUGUAAUAUCAGUUCAGAACCAAAAUAACCGAACAUAAACAAAAAAAAAUUCAGUUUGGUGCAACUCGGUCCAGCAUGUUUGGUUCGUUUCAGAACCGAGGCUAAAGAACUAAGCAAGAUUUGAGUUUAUAUAUCGAUGACAUUGCUUGCAAUAUACUCUACUGACACUCUAAUCAAAUGAUCAGUCCUUUUUUCCUCCAUUCCCCGUAUCCCUUUAUGCAUCGAUUCUUCUACAACUUCUAAAGCUUCCCGUUUAAACAAGAGCGUAUCUGAGAAGCAAACCCGGGCUCUACAUUCACCACUAAACUCCUCACCGUAGGCGUUUGCGGAGCUUAUUAGCUAUCCCACUAGUCAAACUGUUCGCUUGUCCAUUCGAGGUUGUGGUCAUGGUUCCUGAACUUGGGAAGUUGUGACUCAGCUUUGUUUUUCUUCUUGGGCUACUGGUGUAGACCGCUGGAGAAUUGUAUUUGUACUCAUAGUUUGGUGUUGAGACAAUCAGGAGCUUGGGGGUGAAACAAGCUUAGAAUUUGUUCACAAAACUCACAGCGCUUGAUCUUCUUCCAUGUACUCAGAUUCUGAACAUAUUAUACGUGAAUUAAAAUUAGACAGAACAAACACACACGCAAAAAAAAAAAGUAUUAGAGUAGAGAGCAGGUAAUAGGAGGACCUCUAAGCAAGAACCAAUGUCAAAGUUGUGUAGCCUGGACUCAAACUCAAGGAUGGAACCAUCAUAAAGUGUAGCACGUUGAUGUUGCAAGCUUCCUUGUUUAAUUUUUACAUGUAAAUCAAAACACAAGACACACACAUAAACAUUUGUUCAAUCAACCAUCUCUCUCUAUCUUGAUUUCACAAUAUAAAAAGAUUCAUGACUUCAUCACGUUAAGUCUAGGAAUGGAAGUCAAAACAGUAAUGUAUGAUUUUGCAUACCUUCCUUAGCAGCAUGGGUAAAGACCCUUCUGUGCCCAUAAUGGUUUGAAGUGAAGUUGGAUAGUCAAGUAGAGAGUCUAUAAUAAACUUUCAGAACCGCAUCCAAAGUCAACCUGAAACAAGAAUAGAUGUGACUCACAGAUUUACCAAUAUGGACAAAUAUAGAUUUUGAAAAACGAUUAUAAAAUGCUUUGAACCAAACCAAAGUAGAUGAGGAUGACUCUUUUAUAUUCCACAUGCUGUUUUGAAAAAGGCCAAGAGAAAUAUUAAAUGAAUAACCAGAGACUUCCAAAGAAUUAUCCAAGAACUUAAACUUAGGAAUAGCAGAGUACACUCAGAGCCACAAGAAGCUUUGCCAAGAGUCCUGUUGAAAACCAAAAACAAUACUUGCAUACCAGAUCAACAACGAGACAGCUCCACUGAUUUGGUAAUAGAACUUAAUACCUGGAUAUCAUCACUUGGCUGCCAUCCUUCAAGCAGAGCCUUUCAGCAAUACUAUCCAAGUAAUACCGGUCUGAUGAAUCAACAAGCUCCUUACCGAUACAAGGUAAAUAUAUACAGCAUUGACUUCUCUGCUAUCUAGAGAAUCAGAUACAUGAGUAGCUACUGCUUAUACAAUUUCUGAAGGGUAUGCAUUUUCCUCCAAAGUGAAGCAACAUGUGGAGAUGCAACAAUAAAGUCCGACAACUUUGCAGCAGUCUUCAUGACACAGGAAAUGACCAAGAAAGGAUCUGAUUCCACCGAAGGAUUUGAUAACUUUAAAACGACUAUGCAUCAAAAUGUAGCAGGAACCGAGCCGCAACAAUCACCAUCCCUUCGCAAUGUCGCUCUAAAGUGAGCUCCCAAAGGAUGCUCAGCUGGAAGAAACUACAACCGCAACAACUUGAAAACAUUAAUGCCAAUAACACUUCAUUAGUUAUAAUUUUCAAGGUAAUAUAGAAAUAUUUGAUCUACCAAGCUUCAUCCACAAUUAGAUCAUAAUUCUGAGGACGAAUGCCUAGCUGCAACAUGAAUGGUCUUGUCUUAGUCAACAUAAGAGAAAACACAACACAUAAAAGAGAUAUAUAUAUAUAUAUAUAUAUAUAUAUAUAAGAAAGCAUACCUUCUUGAGAUCCAAUUCAGCAGCAGACUGUUCAGAAUCAUUCUUCAUCUUGAAGACACCUGAUACAACAGAGAAGACAGGUACUACAAGUGGCAGCUAUAGAGGCUUGGAUCUUUUUGUGGUAUUGCUAAUCCUGGGAAACCUCUGUGAGAAAAAAAUCAUGAACUUCCUCAAUAGUCAAUUCAGUAGCUUGCAUUAGCACCAAACUUCUGAUGUAUAAUUGUCUUCGGGGUUAGUGUAUGUUUCCCUCCACCCGCCAUCGCAAAAGUCAAUGCGGCUUUCUUUAGCACACUGAAACAAACAAAGAGUUAAUGUGAAUGUUGCCAAAAAUGAGGAAAGAUGGUAACUUUUGUGGAAGGCCCUGAAAAAAAAAAUAGUGUUCCUAACACAAGACCGUUAAUGGUAGCAUUUGUUGUGAGUUGAUUUUCUCAUGUGAGAAGAAAACAACUAGCUCUAAACACCUGACACCACAAAAAUAUAACAAAAUGAUGUGUUUAUAUAAGAAAUUGUCAAAUAUUCAGUAGCUGUGUUGGUAAAGUAUGGUGACUGAACCCUCAAAACCCAGAUUUGAAACUCACCAGUGUCACCUUUAAUAUUUUUUGACCCCACACAUAUUUAAUCCUGGGUCAGCCCCUGGCCACCAAGAAGUUUUAGUGAGCCCUACGACGAAAUUUUGAAAUAAGAUUAUGUCCUAUCCGUGUACUGCAAACAUAGCAUAUAACAUUCUUCCAAGAACAUGGUUCCUGAACUUGUGGUGAUAGCAAAUACAUUACCAUUCCCAAAACAGAAAGUAAUCAUUUUGUCCAUACAGCAAUCAAACAUACCAAAAACAAAAAAUGAAAAGGGUAAAUGUUUAUUGGUGGUCUCAACUCAAGUAGAAAGUACAAAUGGACGAUCUAAUACAUAAUAUUUAUGCAUGUUACCAAAGAGUAACAAAUAAGAUAUGAGACUAGAUUCUUUGUUUUUGUGUAAUUCCAAAAGAAAAGCUUUAUUCUCCCGUUUUAGUUGUUGGGAGAUCCUUCGUAUGAAUCGAUCAGCUCCUUGAGUUU
Brassica napus (rape) is the source of this 4639-nucleotide long non-coding RNA. RefSeq lists it as uncharacterized. The transcript has 2 exons. The record is from RefSeq and is a predicted model, not a curated record. NCBI's taxonomy places the organism in Eukaryota, Viridiplantae, Streptophyta, Magnoliopsida, Brassicales, Brassicaceae.